Molecule: ribosomal RNA, 255 nt
Filed under: uncultured bacterium
Lineage: Bacteria
Description: partial 16S ribosomal RNA
Rfam family: Bacterial small subunit ribosomal RNA
Source: RNAcentral
UACGGUAGGGUGCAAGCGUUAAUCGGAAUUACUGGGCGUAAAGCGUGCGCAGGCGGUUUUGUAAGUCUGUCGUGAAAUCCCCCGGGCUCAACCUGGGAAUUGCGAUGGAGACUGCAAGGCUAGAAUCUGGCAGAGGGGGGUAGAAUUCCACGUGUGAGCAGUGAAAUGCGUAGAGAUGUGGAGGAACACCGAUGCGAAGGCAGCCCCCUGGGUCAAGAUUGACGCUACAUGCACGAAGCGUGGGAGCAACAAGGA